RNAcentral lists this ribosomal RNA (453 nucleotides) under uncultured Porphyromonadaceae bacterium. Its description in RNAcentral is "partial 16S ribosomal RNA". It matches the Rfam family "Bacterial small subunit ribosomal RNA", at positions 341 to 792 of the family's 1533-position model. The record is from RNAcentral. RNAcentral also lists the same sequence under 1 other name. Lineage: Bacteria; Pseudomonadati; Bacteroidota; Bacteroidia; Bacteroidales; Porphyromonadaceae.
ACGGAAGGCAGCAGUGAGGAAUAUUGGUCAAUGGGCGGAAGCCUGAACCAGCCAAGUCGCGUGAAGGAUGAAGGUUCUAUGGAUUGUAAACUUCUUUUGCCUGAGGGUAAAGGUCGGUACGUGUACCGAUUUGCAAGUAUCAGGUGAAUAAGCAUCGGCUAACUCCGUGCCAGCAGCCGCGGUAAUACGGAGGAUGCGAGCGUUAUCCGGAUUUAUUGGGUUUAAAGGGUGCGUAGGCGGAAUGUUAAGUCAGUGGUAAAAGCGUGUGGCUCAACCAUACCAAGCCGUUGAAACUGGCGUUCUUGAGUACAAACGAGGUAGGCGGAAUGUGACGUGUAGCGGUGAAAUGCUUAGAUAUGUCACAGAACUCCGAUUGCGAAGGCAGCUUACCAGCAUGUAACUGACGCUGAGGCACGAAAGCGUGGGUAUCAAACAGGAUUAGAUACCCUGGUA